UACGAAGGGGGCUAGCGUUGCUCGGAAUCACUGGGCGUAAAGCGCACGUAGGCGGCUUGGCAUGUCGGGUGUGAAAUCCCCGGGCUCAACCUGGGAACUGCAUCCGAAACUGCCUUGCUCGAGUAUGGGAGAGGGAAGUGGAAUUUCCGGUGUAGCGGUGAAAUGCGUAGAUAUCGGAAGGAACAUCAGUGGCGAAGGCGACUUCCUGGACCAAUACUGACGCUCAGGUGCGAAAGCGUGGGGAGCAAACAGG
This 253-nucleotide ribosomal RNA is filed under the name uncultured bacterium. RNAcentral's name for it is "partial 16S ribosomal RNA". It matches the Rfam family "Bacterial small subunit ribosomal RNA", at positions 524 to 776 of the family's 1533-position model. The record is from RNAcentral.